GCGGAUAUAGUUCAAUGGUAAAAUAUCUCCUUGCCAAGGAGAAAACGCGGGUUCGAUUCCCGCUAUCCGCC
Molecule: transfer RNA, 71 nt
Filed under: Hymenophyllum polyanthos
Lineage: Eukaryota; Viridiplantae; Streptophyta; Polypodiopsida; Hymenophyllales; Hymenophyllaceae
Description: tRNA-Gly
Rfam family: tRNA
About the family: Transfer RNA (tRNA) molecules are approximately 80 nucleotides in length. Their secondary structure includes four short double-helical elements and three loops (D, anti-codon, and T loops).
Source: RNAcentral